AGAGUUUGAUCAUGGCUCAGGACGAACGCUGGCGGCGUGCUUAACACAUGCAAGUCGAACGGAAAGGCCCUGCGUUUGUGGGGUGCUCGAGUGGCGAACGGGUGAGUAACACGUGAGUAACCUGCCCUUGACUUUGGGAUAACUUCAGGAAACUGGGGCUAAUACCGGAUAGGAGCUCCUGCUGCAUGGUGGGGGUUGGAAAGUUUCGGCGGUUGGGGAUGGACUCGCGGCUUAUCAGCUUGUUGGUGGGGUAGUGGCUUACCAAGGCUUUGACGGGUAGCCGGCCUGAGAGGGUGACCGGCCACAUUGGGACUGAGAUACGGCCCAGACUCCUACGGGAGGCAGCAGUGGGGAAUAUUGCACAAUGGGCGGAAGCCUGAUGCAGCAACGCCGCGUGCGGGAUGACGGCCUUCGGGUUGUAAACCGCUUUCGCCUGUGACGAAGCGUGAGUGACGGUAAUGGGUAAAGAAGCACCGGCUAACUACGUGCCAGCAGCCGCGGUGAUACGUAGGGUGCGAGCGUUGUCCGGAUUUAUUGGGCGUAAAGGGCUCGUAGGUGGUUGAUCGCGUCGGAAGUGUAAUCUUGGGGCUUAACCCUGAGCGUGCUUUCGAUACGGGUUGACUUGAGGAAGGUAGGGGAGAAUGGAAUUCCUGGUGGAGCGGUGGAAUGCGCAGAUAUCAGGAGGAACACCAGUGGCGAAGGCGGUUCUCUGGGCCUUUCCUGACGCUGAGGAGCGAAAGCGUGGGGAGCGAACAGGUUUAGAUACCCUGGUAGUCCACGCUGUAAACGGUGGGUACUAGGUGUGGGGUCCAUUCCACGGGUUCCGUGCCGUAGCUAACGCUUUAAGUACCCCGCCUGGGGAGUACGGCCGCAAGGCUAAAACUCAAAUGAAUUGACGG
Molecule: ribosomal RNA, 899 nt
Filed under: uncultured bacterium
Lineage: Bacteria
Description: bacterial SSU rRNA
Rfam family: Bacterial small subunit ribosomal RNA
Source: RNAcentral